GCCAGGCACAAUGGCACAUGCCUGUAAUCCCAGCGGCUUGGGAGGCUGAGGCAGGUGGAUUGCAAGUUCAAAGCCAGCCUUAGCAAAGGCCAGGCACUGAGCAACUCAGUGAGACCCUGUCUCUA
Molecule: small RNA, 125 nt
Filed under: Marmota monax (woodchuck)
Lineage: Eukaryota; Metazoa; Chordata; Mammalia; Rodentia; Sciuridae
Source: RNAcentral